RNAcentral lists this ribosomal RNA (483 nucleotides) under uncultured bacterium. RNAcentral describes it as "partial 16S ribosomal RNA". It matches the Rfam family "Bacterial small subunit ribosomal RNA", at positions 28 to 507 of the family's 1533-position model. The record is from RNAcentral.
GACGAACGCUGGCGGCGUGCUUAACACAUGCAAGUCGAACGCUGAAGCUCAGCUUUUGUUGGGUGGAUGAGUGGCGAACGGGUGAGUAACACGUGAGUAACCUGCCUCCUUCUUUGGGAUAACGCCCGGAAACGGGUGCUAAUACUGGAUAUUCACUGGCCUUCGCAUGGGGGUUGGUGGAAAGGGUUUUUCUGGUGGGGGAUGGGCUCGCGGCCUAUCAGCUUGUUGGUGGGGUGAUGGCCUACCAAGGCUUUGACGGGUAGCCGGCCUGAGAGGGUGACCGGUCACAUUGGGACUGAGAUACGGCCCAGACUCCUACGGGAGGCAGCAGUGGGGAAUAUUGCACAAUGGGCGCAAGCCUGAUGCAGCGACGCCGCGUGAGGGAUGGAGGCCUUCGGGUUGUGAACCUCUUUCGCUCAUGGUCAAGCCGCAACAAUGGUUGUGGUGAGGGUAGUGGGUAAAGAAGCGCCGGCUAACUACGUG